Molecule: ribosomal RNA, 494 nt
Filed under: uncultured bacterium
Lineage: Bacteria
Description: partial 16S ribosomal RNA
Rfam family: Bacterial small subunit ribosomal RNA
Source: RNAcentral
GACGAACGCUGGCGGCGUGCUUAACACAUGCAAGUCGAACGGAGAAGCGCCUUCCUUUCUGGUGGGUGUGGAUGAGCGGCGAACGGGUGAGUAACACGUGAGUAACCUUCCCCCUCCUUCUGGAUAACCGCAUGACAGUGCGGCUAAUACGGGAUAUUCUGGUCCGCUGGGUUCAGGGGUUUGGGAAGGUUUUGCUUUCGCUGGGGGUUGGGUCCGCGCCCCAUUGGCUUGUUGGUGGGGUAACGGCCUACCAAGGCGGUGACGGUUGGCCGACCUGAGAGGGUGGGCGGUCAUACUGGGACUGAAACACCGCCCAGACUCCUAGGGGAGGCAGCAGUGGGUAAUAUUGCACAGUGGGCGCAAGGCUGGUGCAGCGACGCCGCGUGAGGGAUGGAGGCCUUCGGGUUGUGAACCUCUUUCGCCAGUGAAGCAAGCCUGCCUCGUUUGUGGGUGGGUUGACGGUAGCUGGAUAAGAAGCGCCGGCUAACUACGUG